UGCCUACGGGGGGCAGCAGUAGGGAAUCUUCCACAAUGGGCGAAAGCCUGAUGGAGCAACGCCGCGUGGGUGAAGAAGCACUCCGGUGCGUAAAGCCCUGUCAGCAGGGAAGAAAAUGACAGUACCUGGACAAGGAGCCCCGGCUAACUACGUGCCAGCAGCCGCGGUAAUACGUAGGGGGCAAGCGUUAUCCGGAUUUACUGGGUGUAAAGGGAGCGCAGGCGGCGUGGCAAGUCAGAUGUGAAAACCCGGGGCCCAACCCCGGGAGUGCAUUUGAAACUGCCAUGCUGGAGUGCCGGAGAGGU
RNAcentral lists this ribosomal RNA (305 nucleotides) under uncultured bacterium. RNAcentral describes it as "bacterial SSU rRNA". It matches the Rfam family "Bacterial small subunit ribosomal RNA", at positions 335 to 658 of the family's 1533-position model. The record is from RNAcentral.